GGGUUGUGAGGUUAAGCGACUAAGCGUACACGGUGGAUGCCCUGGCAGUCAGAGGCGAUGAAGGACGUGCUAAUCUGCGAUAAGCGUCGGUGAGGUGAUAUGAACCGUUAUAACCGGCGAUUUCCGAAUGGGGAAACCCAGUGUGAUUCGUCACACUAUCAUUAACUGAAUCCAUAGGUUAAUGAGGCGAACCGGGGGAACUGAAACAUCUAAGUACCCCGAGGAAAAGAAAUCAACCGAGAUUCCCCCAGUAGCGGCGAGCGAACGGGGAGCAGCCCAGAGCCUGAAUCAGUGUGUGUGUUAGUGGAAGCGUCUGGAAAGGCGCGCGAUACAGGGUGACAGCCCCGUACACAAAAAUGCACAUACUGUGAGCUCGAUGAGUAGGGCGGGACACGUGGUAUCCUGUCUGAAUAUGGGGGGACCAUCCUCCAAGGCUAAAUACUCCUGACUGACCGAUAGUGAACCAGUACCGUGAGGGAAAGGCGAAAAGAACCCCGGCGAGGGGAGUGAAAAAGAACCUGAAACCGUGUACGUACAAGCAGUGGGAGCACGCUUCGGCGUGUGACUGCGUACCUUUUGUAUAAUGGGUCAGCGACUUAUAUUCUGUAGCAAGGUUAACCGAAUAGGGGAGCCGAAGGGAAACCGAGUCUUAACUGGGCGUUAAGUUGCAGGGUAUAGACCCGAAACCCGGUGAUCUAGCCAUGGGCAGGUUGAAGGUUGGGUAACACUAACUGGAGGACCGAACCGACUAAUGUUGAAAAAUUAGCGGAUGACUUGUGGCUGGGGGUGAAAGGCCAAUCAAACCGGGAGAUAGCUGGUUCUCCCCGAAAGCUAUUUAGGUAGCGCCUCGUGAAUUCAUCUCCGGGGGUAGAGCACUGUUUCGGCAAGGGGGUCAUCCCGACUUACCAACCCGAUGCAAACUGCGAAUACCGGAGAAUGUUAUCACGGGAGACACACGGCGGGUGCUAACGUCCGUCGUGAAGAGGGAAACAACCCAGACCGCCAGCUAAGGUCCCAAAGUCAUGGUUAAGUGGGAAACGAUGUGGGAAGGCCCAGACAGCCAGGAUGUUGGCUUAGAAGCAGCCAUCAUUUAAAGAAAGCGUAAUAGCUCACUGGUCGAGUCGGCCUGCGCGGAAGAUGUAACGGGGCUAAACCAUGCACCGAAGCUGCGGCAGCGACACUAUGUGUUGUUGGGUAGGGGAGCGUUCUGUAAGCCUGUGAAGGUGUACUGUGAGGUAUGCUGGAGGUAUCAGAAGUGCGAAUGCUGACAUAAGUAACGAUAAAGCGGGUGAAAAGCCCGCUCGCCGGAAGACCAAGGGUUCCUGUCCAACGUUAAUCGGGGCAGGGUGAGUCGACCCCUAAGGCGAGGCCGAAAGGCGUAGUCGAUGGGAAACAGGUUAAUAUUCCUGUACUUGGUGUUACUGCGAAGGGGGGACGGAGAAGGCUAUGUUGGCCGGGCGACGGUUGUCCCGGUUUAAGCGUGUAGGCUGGUUUUCCAGGCAAAUCCGGAGAAUCAAGGCUGAGGCGUGAUGACGAGGCACUACGGUGCUGAAGCAACAAAUGCCCUGCUUCCAGGAAAAGCCUCUAAGCAUCAGGUAACAUUAAAUCGUACCCCAAACCGACACAGGUGGUCAGGUAGAGAAUACCAAGGCGCUUGAGAGAACUCGGGUGAAGGAACUAGGCAAAAUGGUGCCGUAACUUCGGGAGAAGGCACGCUGAUACGUAGGUGAAGUCCCUCGCGGAUGGAGCUGAAAUCAGUCGAAGAUACCAGCUGGCUGCAACUGUUUAUUAAAAACACAGCACUGUGCAAACACGAAAGUGGACGUAUACGGUGUGACGCCUGCCCGGUGCCGGAAGGUUAAUUGAUGGGGUCAGCGCAAGCGAAGCUCUUGAUCGAAGCCCCGGUAAACGGCGGCCGUAACUAUAACGGUCCUAAGGUAGCGAAAUUCCUUGUCGGGUAAGUUCCGACCUGCACGAAUGGCGUAAUGAUGGCCAGGCUGUCUCCACCCGAGACUCAGUGAAAUUGAACUCGCUGUGAAGAUGCAGUGUACCCGCGGCAAGACGGAAAGACCCCGUGAACCUUUACUAUAGCUUGACACUGAACAUUGAGCCUUGAUGUGUAGGAUAGGUGGGAGGCUUUGAAGUGUGGACGCCAGUCUGCAUGGAGCCGACCUUGAAAUACCACCCUUUAAUGUUUGAUGUUCUAACGUAGACCCGUGAUCCGGGUUGCGGACAGUGUCUGGUGGGUAGUUUGACUGGGGCGGUCUCCUCCUAAAGAGUAACGGAGGAGCACGAAGGUUGGCUAAUCCUGGUCGGACAUCAGGAGGUUAGUGCAAUGGCAUAAGCCAGCUUGACUGCGAGCGUGACGGCGCGAGCAGGUGCGAAAGCAGGUCAUAGUGAUCCGGUGGUUCUGAAUGGAAGGGCCAUCGCUCAACGGAUAAAAGGUACUCCGGGGAUAACAGGCUGAUACCGCCCAAGAGUUCAUAUCGACGGCGGUGUUUGGCACCUCGAUGUCGGCUCAUCACAUCCUGGGGCUGAAGUAGGUCCCAAGGGUAUGGCUGUUCGCCAUUUAAAGUGGUACGCGAGCUGGGUUUAGAACGUCGUGAGACAGUUCGGUCCCUAUCUGCCGUGGGCGCUGGAGAACUGAGGGGGGCUGCUCCUAGUACGAGAGGACCGGAGUGGACGCAUCACUGGUGUUCGGGUUGUCAUGCCAAUGGCACUGCCCGGUAGCUAAAUGCGGAAGAGAUAAGUGCUGAAAGCAUCUAAGCACGAAACUUGCCCCGAGAUGAGUUCUCCCUGACCCUUUAAGGGUCCUGAAGGAACGUUGAAGACGACGACGUUGAUAGGCCGGGUGUGUAAGCGCAGCGAUGCGUUGAGCUAACCGGUACUAAUGAACCGUGAGGCUUAACCUUACAACGCCGAAGGUGUUU
Molecule: ribosomal RNA, 2930 nt
Filed under: Escherichia coli
Lineage: Bacteria; Pseudomonadati; Pseudomonadota; Gammaproteobacteria; Enterobacterales; Enterobacteriaceae
Description: 23S ribosomal RNA
Rfam family: Bacterial large subunit ribosomal RNA
Source: RNAcentral